GCUCAGUAACACGUGGACAACCUGCCCUUAGGACGGGUAUAAACCCGGGAAACUGGGUAUAAUCCCCGAUAGGUCUCGACUGCUGGAAUGCAUUGAGAUCUAAAGCUCCGGCGCCUAAGGAUGGGUCUGCGGCCUAUCAGGUAGUAGUGGGUGUAGCGUACCUACUAGCCUACGACGGGUACGGGUUGUGAGAGCAAGAGCCCGGAGAUGGAUUCUGAGACACGAAUCCAGGCCCUACGGGGUGCAGCAGGCGCGAAAACUUUACAAUGCCGGCAACGGCGAUAAGGGGACCUCGAGUGCCAGGUUACAAAUCUGGCUGUCGUGAUGCCUAAAAAGCAUUGCAUAGCAAGGGCCGGGCAAGACCGGUGCCAGCCGCCGCGGUAACACCGGCGGCUCGAGUGGUAACCGUUAUUAUUGGGUCUAAAGGGUCUGUAGCCGGCCGGAUAAGUCUCUUGAGAAAUCCAGCAGCUCAACUGUUGGGCUUUCAGGAGAUACUGUUCGGCUCGAGGCCGGGAGAGGUGAGAGGUACUUCAGGGGUAGGGGUGAAAUCUUGUAAUCCUUGAAGGACCACCAGUGGCGAAGGCGUCUCACCAGAACGGACCUGACGGCAAGGGACGAAAGCUAGGGGCACGAACCGGAUUAGAUACCCGGGUAGUCCUAGCCGUAAACGAUACUCGCUAGGUGUCGGCCACGGUGCGACCGUUGUCGGUGCCGUAGGGAAGCCGUGAAGCGAGCCACCUGGGAAGUACGGCCGCAAGGCUGAAACUUAAAGGAAUUGGCGGGGGAGCAC
Molecule: ribosomal RNA, 790 nt
Filed under: uncultured archaeon
Lineage: Archaea
Description: bacterial SSU rRNA
Rfam family: Archaeal small subunit ribosomal RNA
Source: RNAcentral